AGAAGUGAGAGUAGUGGAGCUGUAACAUCGAUCACUCGGGUUGCUCAGGUUGAUCUGACUUGCCAAGGAGGUGUUCUCUUCCUUCCUUUCCACUCUAUGUGAGGCCCUUCUGAAGCUGCACUCCUGCCUUCUCUGAUGGGGGAUAUACAAGGAGCUGCACCCCUUUGUGAGAACAAAUUCCCAGGUGGUAGUGGAGAGAAUUCCAUAUUUUAGAAUGAAUCCCACAACCUCCACCCCAAUGUAGAAGCAAAACAUUUAAGACUGGUGAACUGUACUUU
RNAcentral lists this small nuclear RNA (278 nucleotides) under Monodelphis domestica (gray short-tailed opossum). RNAcentral describes it as "7SK RNA". It matches the Rfam family "7SK RNA". Rfam says of the family: 7SK was discovered as an abundant small nuclear RNA in the mid-70s but a possible function has only recently been suggested. Two independent studies have found that 7SK RNA binds the CDK9/cyclin T complex (known as elongation factor P-TEFb). Lineage: Eukaryota; Metazoa; Chordata; Mammalia; Didelphimorphia; Didelphidae. The record is from Rfam by way of RNAcentral.